AAAGUCCUUCUUUCGAUUUAGUUUGUUGAUUCCAACCAUGGCAUUGCAAUUGCGGUUGUCGCACAUACGUCUCGAUGCAUCGGGAGCAAGCUGUGAUUUAAAGGCGAGCUAAUUCACGCCAUUGACGACAAGAUUUCUAUGAUGAAGCUUGGUACACUCGUAGUGCUGAUAAUAUUAUCCGUGGUCCUUUUUCAACCCUUUCUCAACGCACAAGCAAGCCUGCGGUUCUCAUCGGCAAAAUGCCGCUACAGGAACUUCAAACAGAAGGUUCAAAUCAGGGACAACCCACUGUGCAUCCCGAAGAAGAUCCGUCGUAGCAAAUGUGUCGGCUCGUGCAAGUCGUCCGCGUUUCCCAUCGUCAGCGCCAAGGGAAACCAGUUCAGAAAGAUCUGUAACUGUUGCACGCCUAUUGUUGAGGAGAAUGAAAUCGUUCAGUUCGAUGGAUGUGAAGACACUCUCACGCUACCGGUCAUCAAGCGCUGCGAAUGUCGGCCGUGUGGCACACGUGACGAGCUCUAGAGGCCCUGAACCCCUACCCUAGCCACACCCAUCAAGGGGGGGGGGGGUAGUGACUUCAGGCACAGGAUUUAUUAUGUAUAUAAGAAUAAGAUAUAUUUCGUUCAAAUUCCCAUAUUGUUAUCGUAGUAUAUUUUUUAGUAUAUGCUUAAUUAGGGUAGCUGGAAGGUCUUCCAAUUGUAGUCCCUACAUAGCUUCAGAGCAAAAUGGUUUGCUUGUCUACUUAAAAUCAGAAAAUAGCUCACAAUGGUCUCUACAAAACAUGUAAGACAAGUGUGCUUUCUUUUUCGUGCUUCUUGUUUGCUCUCUUUUGUAUUUCCUUUUUUGUUCAAGUUCAAAAAGCACUCCAUGCUCUUUCCAAAAGAAUGAUCUUCGAUGACGAGUAGGACUAUAUUGGAGCGGCCACAA
This is a long non-coding RNA of Nematostella vectensis (starlet sea anemone), 924 nucleotides long. RefSeq lists it as uncharacterized. The record is from RefSeq and is a predicted model, not a curated record. Lineage: Eukaryota; Metazoa; Cnidaria; Anthozoa; Actiniaria; Edwardsiidae. The transcript is spliced from 2 exons.